This 519-nucleotide ribosomal RNA is filed under the name Trioceros sternfeldi. RNAcentral's name for it is "partial 16S ribosomal RNA". It matches the Rfam family "Bacterial large subunit ribosomal RNA", at positions 1805 to 2611 of the family's 2925-position model. The record is from RNAcentral. Lineage: Eukaryota; Metazoa; Chordata; Lepidosauria; Squamata; Chamaeleonidae.
UAUCAAAAACAUAGCUUCUAGCACACCAAACAUUAGAAGUAACGCCUGCCCUGUGGAAACCCUAAACGGCCGCGGCACUAAAACCGUGCAAAGGUAGCACAAUCACUUGUCCAUUAAAUGAGGACCCGUAUGAAAGGCAACAUGAGAGAAAACCUGUCUCCUAAGGCCCGCCAAUGAAAUUGUACUACCAGUACAAAAACUGAUAUCUCAAAGCAAGACAAAAAGACCCUGUGGAACUUUUAACAAAUUGUUUAAACACGUAAACAACAGUUUCAGUUGGGACAACUUUAGAAAAAAUAAACUUCUUAAUUUACCAAGACAAACAAGUCUAAGACAACACAGAUCCAGUAAUACUGAUUAACGAAACAAGCUACCCCAGGGAUAACAGCGCCACCUUCUCAAAGAGUCCAUAUCAACAAGAAGAUCUACGACCUCGAUGUUGGAUCAGGGUACCCAGACGGUGCAACAGCUGUCAAUGGUUCGUUUGUUCAACGAUUAAUACCCUACGUGAUCUGAGUU